AACUCUUAGCGGUGGAUCACUCGGCUCGUGCGUCGAUGAAGAACGCAGCCAGCUGCGAGAACUAAUGUGAAUUGCAGGACACAUUGAUCAUCGACAC
This is a ribosomal RNA of Ictalurus punctatus (channel catfish), 97 nucleotides long. It matches the Rfam family "5.8S ribosomal RNA". Rfam says of the family: 5.8S ribosomal RNA (5.8S rRNA) is a component of the large subunit of the eukaryotic ribosome. It is transcribed by RNA polymerase I as part of the 45S precursor that also contains 18S and 28S rRNA. Functionally, it is thought that 5.8S rRNA may be involved in ribosome translocation. Lineage: Eukaryota; Metazoa; Chordata; Actinopteri; Siluriformes; Ictaluridae. The record is from Ensembl.